RNAcentral lists this ribosomal RNA (204 nucleotides) under Klebsiella pneumoniae. Its description in RNAcentral is "partial 16S ribosomal RNA". It matches the Rfam family "Bacterial small subunit ribosomal RNA", at positions 900 to 1103 of the family's 1533-position model. The record is from RNAcentral. Lineage: Bacteria; Pseudomonadati; Pseudomonadota; Gammaproteobacteria; Enterobacterales; Enterobacteriaceae.
CUCAAAUGAAUUGACGGGGGCCCGCACAAGCGGUGGAGCAUGUGGUUUAAUUCGAUGCAACGCGAAGAACCUUACCUGGUCUUGACAUCCACAGAACUUUCCAGAGAUGGAUUGGUGCCUUCGGGAACUGUGAGACAGGUGCUGCAUGGCUGUCGUCAGCUCGUGUUGUGAAAUGUUGGGUUAAGUCCCGCAACGAGCGCAACC